AUGCCCAAAAGAAAAACAAGAGAAAAGCAAAAGAAAGAAAUGCCGGCAGCACCGGAUGAACGAAAGCUGAAGCAUCCCGCAACCGUUAUGCUCACCGGAGAUAUCCACCACGCUCCAAUGCCAUCGAGUCACCGCGAACCAAGCAACACCUUCAAGAAGGACUGCGACGACGACGACGCUGCUGCCCGGACGAAUCCUAGGAUUUCUCCCGGUACACGGAGGGAAGUGGGGGAGAGGUACUCCCGACGCCCUUCAAGAAGGUUGAUGGCGCCCGCAGGCGUCCCCGCGUCGGUGCCGGGCGGACCCGAGAGGGAUUUUGCCCUACCCCUCAAACCCACAACCCAGGACCAACCGGCGGCUCCACUACGUCGACCGCCCACCACCCUGCGCCACCACAAUCACGAGGACACCACCGUCGCCUCUCCAUCGAAUACACUGCGAGGCCAGCCGAACCAAACGAGACCACCGUCGAUAGGGACCGGGAGCACCACAACCACGUGGGAGGGGACAACCUCCACUGGCACAAGCAGUAGCAGACCGAACGCAGGCGUGGGAGCACGUCGGACCCCCUGCCCAGCCGGGCCCAGAACGGGCCCGUUAAGCUCCUGCCGCCGCGUUGCAGCCGACGCAGCGCGGGGCCGCCGAUCCCAACGACCGCAUCCCGACAGCCCAGCCGAAGGAGACCCGCCGGAGGCCAGACCAGCCCGCCCUGACCCAGAUCGGACCCAAAAGGGCCCAGAUCUGGGCCUGCAGGGCUCCACCGACCGACCCACGCCGUCAGCCGCCACCGCCGCCAAAGGACCGCGCCGCCGCCGCAUCUGCGCUCGAUCUACAUCGGAGCACCGCCCGCCGAGGUGCACCAUCGCCGGAAACCGCCGCCCGAGCCGGGGAACCGCGAGGGGAAGAGGAAGAGGGCUGCCACCACCGGCCUCGCCACGGCGCUGCGCGGGCAACGCCCGGCCACGCUAG
Molecule: ribosomal RNA, 969 nt
Filed under: Triticum aestivum (bread wheat)
Lineage: Eukaryota; Viridiplantae; Streptophyta; Magnoliopsida; Poales; Poaceae
Description: partial small subunit ribosomal RNA
Source: RNAcentral